This 857-nucleotide long non-coding RNA is filed under the name Equus caballus (horse). Its description in RNAcentral is "lncRNA (ENSECAG00000056871.1)". The record is from RNAcentral. Lineage: Eukaryota; Metazoa; Chordata; Mammalia; Perissodactyla; Equidae.
GUGGCCAUGGUCAGCUUUAAGGUUCUGAAGCAGAUGUCAUAAAGGCAUCAUUAUCAACGCAAUAGGUCUCUGUGCCUUCUACAAGCUGAUGGACCAAGAGGGUGGCGUUGUGGGGCUUCAUCACCAUGUCGCACAACUUGAGGAAGGGUACCACGUUGAAUGCGUUCAUGAUCCAUCCAGAAAAAGAGAUUGCUUGAACAUAUGCUCCAGCAAAAUGGAAAAGGAAUCAAGAAAAUCAGAAAUGAAGAACAGGAAUUCCCACGGAAAAGCAUUCCAGGAACAAAUGACAAGCCCUUUAGAAAGCAGUCAAUGUUAUAUAGACCAUUAACCAAGUACUAUGACAACGAAUCUGGAAAAUGACAUGGAUGUCACAAGAAUAUUUUAUGCUGCUUCUGUCAAACCUGAAAAGUCAAAAGUAACUAAACUCCAGAAAAAACAAAAGUUGCACAAAAAUUAUAAUCCAAAUUGAAGCAAAAUGAAAAUGCAACUCGAGUUUUAGUAUAAGAAAGUGUAAUACAUUUAUUCUUAACAUAAAUAAAUAAAGAGGAUGAGAGGAAACCUUUGGAGGUGAUGGAUGUGUUUACGGCAUUGACUGUGGUGAUGAUUUGACAAGUGUAUACUUACCUUCAAACUCAUCAACUUGUAUACAUUAAAUAUGCACAGCUUUUUGUAUGUCAAUCACACCUCAAUAAAGUGAUUAAAAAAAAAAGAAAAUGUGAUACAUUUAACCUAAAAAAUACAUUGGUCUUUUUCUUUAAACUUCGCCGUUUUUGUGCUGAAAUUAGAUUUUCUUCUCUAUACUGUUCUUUCUUCUCUGUGCACAGUCCAGUUACGUGACAAAUAAUAUUUACAUGAAC